AGAUUCCGGAGAGGGAGCCUGAGAAACGGCUACCACAUCUAAGGAAGGCAGCAGGCGCGUAAAUUACCCAAUUCUGACACAGAGAGGUAGCGACAAGAAAUAACAAUACAAGGCACUUCGUGUUUUGUAAUUGGAAUGAGUAGAAAGUAAAAUUUUCUACGAGAACCAAUUGGAGGGCAAGUCUGGUGCCAGCAGCCGCGGUAAUUCCAGCUCCAAUAGCGUAUAUUAAAGUUGUUGCAGUUAAAAAGCUCGUAGUUGAAUUUCUGUCACUUGCAGCUGGUAUAUCUUAACCGAUAUUAUUCAGAGUGCUGUGGCAUUUUUCUACUUUGCGUCAUUUAUGGCGUAUUAGUAGAUCUUUUACUUUGAGUAAAUUAGAGUGUUUCAAGCAAGUUAUCACUU
Molecule: ribosomal RNA, 399 nt
Filed under: uncultured alveolate
Lineage: Eukaryota
Description: bacterial SSU rRNA
Rfam family: Eukaryotic small subunit ribosomal RNA
Source: RNAcentral